UCUAAAACAUAUAAUAAAACUUUGAAUUUUAUUAAGGGAUUAGACUCCCUUUUAGAU
Molecule: transfer RNA, 57 nt
Filed under: Bugula neritina
Lineage: Eukaryota; Metazoa; Bryozoa; Gymnolaemata; Cheilostomatida; Bugulidae
Description: tRNA-Gln
Source: RNAcentral